GACGAACGCUGGCGGCGUGCUUAACACAUGCAAGUCGAACGAAGAGCGAUGGAAGCUUGCUUCUAUCAAUCUUAGUGGCGAACGGGUGAGUAACGCGUAAUCAACCUGCCCUUCAGAGGGGGACAACAGUUGGAAACGACUGCUAAUACCGCAUACGAUCUAACCUCGGCAUCGAGGAUAGAUGAAAGGUGGCCUCUACAUGUAAGCUAUCACUGAAGGAGGGGAUUGCGUCUGAUUAGCUAGUUGGAGGGGUAACGGCCCACCAAGGCGAUGAUCAGUAGCCGGUCUGAGAGGAUGAACGGCCACAUUGGGACUGAGACACGGCCCAGACUCCUACGGGAGGCAGCAGUGGGGAAUCUUCCGCAAUGGACGAAAGUCUGACGGAGCAACGCCGCGUGAGUGAUGACGGCCUUCGGGUUGUAAAGCUCUGUUAAUCGGGACGAAAGGCCUUCUUGUGAAUAGUGAGAAGGAUUGACGGUACCGGAAUAGAAAGCCACGGCUAACUACGUG
RNAcentral lists this ribosomal RNA (510 nucleotides) under uncultured bacterium. Its description in RNAcentral is "partial 16S ribosomal RNA". It matches the Rfam family "Bacterial small subunit ribosomal RNA", at positions 28 to 507 of the family's 1533-position model. The record is from RNAcentral.